RNAcentral lists this ribosomal RNA (429 nucleotides) under bacterium. Its description in RNAcentral is "partial 16S ribosomal RNA". It matches the Rfam family "Bacterial small subunit ribosomal RNA", at positions 355 to 776 of the family's 1533-position model. The record is from RNAcentral.
UGGGGAAUUUUGGACAAUGGGCGAAAGCCUGAUCCAGCAAUGCCGCGUGUGUGAAGAAGGCCUUCGGGUUGUAAAGCACUCUUGUCCGGAAAGAAAACGCCGUGGUUAAUACACGUGGCGGAUGACGGUAUCGGAAGAAUAAGCACCGGCUCACUACGUGCCAGCAGCAGCGGUAAUACGAAGGGUGCAAGCGUUAAUCGGAAUUACUGGGAGUAAAGCGUGCGCGGGCGGUCCGCUAAGACAGAUGUGAAAUCACCGGGCUUAACCUGGGAACUGCAUUUGUAACUGGCGGGCUAGAGUAUGGCAGAGGGGGGUAGAAUUCCACGUGUAGCAGUGAAAUGCGUAGAGAUGUGGCGGAAUACCGAUGGCGAAGGCAGCCCCCUGGGCCAAUACUAACGCUCAUGCACGAAAGCGUGUGGAGCAAACAGG